RNAcentral lists this ribosomal RNA (551 nucleotides) under uncultured bacterium. Its description in RNAcentral is "partial 16S ribosomal RNA". It matches the Rfam family "Bacterial small subunit ribosomal RNA", at positions 355 to 899 of the family's 1533-position model. The record is from RNAcentral.
UGGGGAAUUUUGGACAAUGGGCGAAAGCCUGAUCCAGCAAUGCCGCGUGUGUGAAGAAGGCCUUCGGGUUGUAAAGCACUUUUGUCCGGAAAGAAAUCCUUGGCUCUAAUACAGUCGGGGGAUGACGGUACCGGAAGAAUAAGCACCAGCUAACUACGUGCCAGCAGCCGCGGUAAUACGUAGGGUGCAAGCGUUAAUCGGAAUUACUGGGCGUAAAGCGUGCGCAGGCGGUUUGCUAAGACCGAUGUGAAAUCCCCGGGCUCAACCUGGGAACUGCAUUGGUGACUGGCAGGCUAGAGUAUGGCAGAGGGGGGUAGAAUUCCACGUGUAGCAGUGAAAUGCGUAGAGAUGUGGAGGAAUACCGAUGGCGAAGGCAGCCCCCUGGGCCAAUACUGACGCUCAUGCACGAAAGCGUGGGGAGCAAACAGGAUUAGAUACCCUGGUAGUCCACGCCCUAAACGAUGUCAACUAGUUGUUGGGGAUUCAUUUCCUUAGUAACGUAGCUAACGCGUGAAGUUGACCGCCUGGGGAGUACGGUCGCAAGAUUAAAA